GACGAACGCUGGCGGCGUGCUUAACACAUGCCAGUCGAACGGAAAGGCCUCUUUCGGGGGGUACUCGAGUGGCGAACGGGUGAGUAACGCGUGAGUAACCUGCCCUUGACUUUGGGAUAACUUCAGGAAACUGGGGCUAAUACCGGAUAGGAGCUCCUGCUGCAUGGUGGGGGUUGGAAAGUUUCGGCGGUUGGGGAUGGACUCGCGGCUUAUCAGCUUGUUGGUGGGGUAGUGGCUUACCAAGGCUUUGACGGGUAGCCGGCCUGAGAGGGUGACCGGCCACAUUGGGACUGAGAUACGGCCCAGACUCCUACGGGAGGCAGCAGUGGGGAAUAUUGCACAAUGGGUGGAAGCCUGAUGCAGCAACGCCGUGUGCGGGAUGACGGCCUUCGGGUUGGAAACCGCUUUCGCUCAUGACGAAGCUUUGUGUGACGGUAGUGGGUAAAGAAGCACCGGCUAACUACGUG
Molecule: ribosomal RNA, 467 nt
Filed under: uncultured bacterium
Lineage: Bacteria
Description: partial 16S ribosomal RNA
Rfam family: Bacterial small subunit ribosomal RNA
Source: RNAcentral